GGUGAGGUAAGGCGCUUACCAAGGCGACGACGGAUAGCCGGCGUGAGAGCGUGGCCGGCCACAAGGACACUGAGAUAUGGGUCCUACUCCUACGGGAGGCAGCAGUGCGGAAUUUUAGAUAAUGGAGGGAACUCUGAUCUAGCGACGCCGCGUGCAGGAAGAAGGUCUUCGGAUUGUAAACUGCUGUGGUAAGGGAAAAAUGCUAUGUAGAGUGGAAAGCUACAUAGAGGGAUGGUACCUAACUAGAAAGCCCCGGCUAACUACGUGCCAGCAGCCGCGGUAAUACGUAGGGGGCGAGCGUUACCCGGAAUCACUGGGCGUAAAGGGAGCGUAGGUGGCCUAACAUGUCAACUGUGAAAACCCGGAGCUCAACUCCGGACUUGCAGUUGAAACUGGUAGGCUUGAGGACGGUAGAGGAAGACGGAACUGCCAGUGUAGGGGUAAAAUCCUUAGAUAUUGGCAGGAACGCCGGUGACGAAGGUGGUUUUCUGGGCCGGUUCUGACACUGAUGCUCGAAAGCCAGGGGAGCGAACGGGAUUAGAUACCCCGGUAGUCCUGGCCCUAAACGAUGUUCACUAGGUGUGGGGAGCGGAA
Molecule: ribosomal RNA, 594 nt
Filed under: uncultured bacterium
Lineage: Bacteria
Description: bacterial SSU rRNA
Rfam family: Bacterial small subunit ribosomal RNA
Source: RNAcentral